RNAcentral lists this ribosomal RNA (250 nucleotides) under uncultured bacterium. RNAcentral describes it as "partial 16S ribosomal RNA". It matches the Rfam family "Bacterial small subunit ribosomal RNA", at positions 524 to 773 of the family's 1533-position model. The record is from RNAcentral.
UACGUAGGUGGCAAGCGUUGUCCGGAAUUACUGGGUGUAAAGGGCGUGUAGGCGGGGCGGCAAGUCAGAUGUGAAAUUCCGUGGCUUAACUGCGGGGGUGCAUCUGAAACUGUCGUUCUUGAGUAUCGGAGAGGAAAGUGGAAUUCCCAGUGUAGCGGUGAAAUGCGUAGAGAUUGGGAGGAACAUCGGUGGCGAAGGCGGCUUUCUGGACGAUAACUGACGCUGAGGCGCGAAAGCGUGGGUAGCAAAC